GGUGAGCCUGAGAGGAUAUGUAGUAAACAAAAAGAAAUGUGAACUGUGGUACUUUCGGCAAUACAGUCAUUACCACAAAGGAGCUUUGAACAGAUUAAUUAAAGACGUCGGCGCGUGAUAUAUUCGAACGUUCCGAGAGGAAAAGUGGGUGGGUGUGACUCAGCAAACUCGGCCAGCGCCCCCAACUUUUUUCAUCACAAAAUAUUCAAAGAUCAUGGGUUUGUCCUUUUGACGAUUCUUAAUCUCUACUUUGAACAAAGAAGAAAAAGAAAAAGAAAAAGAUAAGAAUUGCUAUUACUACUACUACUAUUGUUAUUUCAAAGUUCAAAGUUCAAAGUUAGAUAUCGUUCUCGAUCGUUCAUGCAGAAUAAGCAUCCGUUCUUCAACUCAGUUGACAGGAAGGAUGAGAGUGACAAUGGUGGAGGUGGCCCAAACGCCAAAAUUAGCAGCGAGGCAUGUGGUUGUUUACUCGAAGCAUGUGAUCUGUACAGUAAAUGGACAGUGACUUUCACUAAGGGAGAAACCCCGUGAAUUGAGCCUUAAACCACAAUCUUCUACCAUUUUCCAGUCUCUAGCUCCUGUGCUCCCCAAAAACAAAAGUACUUUGUAAAAAAAGUAGUAACAGUGAUAAGCAUGCAACGGUCACUUUCAAUUCC
Molecule: long non-coding RNA, 656 nt
Organism: Theobroma cacao (cacao)
Lineage: Eukaryota; Viridiplantae; Streptophyta; Magnoliopsida; Malvales; Malvaceae
Source: RefSeq, a predicted model, not a curated record